GUGGAGAAAAAUUAGAGUUCUUUAUUUUACAUGCAUUCAAAGAAGUCAGAGAGCUCUGUUUCCACACCUAAACACAACACAUGAAAGGCAUUGGCAAACCACUGGGAAAAAGACUGGCAAUACAAUCGAAGUAUUUACAGCAUUUGUGAAGCUUAUCUAGGUGGCAGACCCAGCUUGGUUUAAACAGUGGGCAGCAGAUAAGAGAAUGGGCCUCUCUAUCUGGGUUCAACUUCAGUCGUGAGUGCUCUCAAUUUUCUACAAUUUCUAGGAGUGCAGAAUUCCUGUUUGGCAACAUCAAAAAUUCUGUGGCUGGAGAUUGACCAACGCACUCUGAUCACAGAUUUGGUGUUGCAAUCUGACUGAAGCAGAGGCUGCCAAACCAAGCUUUCUUCAGAUACUUCCUAGAUUUCUUCAGAUACUGCCAGUAGGGCUGGACACAAAUGCCAUUCCCUGCCAGAAACAGCAAAUGACUCCACUUUUCAGGGAUCUGCUUCUUACCUCCUUGUCCCACCUGUCCCCACUACUCACCAGCAUGCCCUUACACCUUACACCCACUCUCUGUUGGAAACAAGUUUAAUCCAUGGGGUGAUUACAGGUACACAUCUAACAUUAACCAGAGAGAAGUGCCAAGAGGGAGGUGCUCAUCUGGUAAUGCCCAAGGCAGGCAGACAGCACACACCACCCCAGUGGCAAUUCACACCUGACAAGCCAUUCUUCCCUUGCAAACCCUCAUGCCAUUUACUGCUGCCACAUCAUUCAUGACUAGCUCAAGUCACACAUCUGUACUGCUAGGUUUGCUGGGGUAUUUUUCAACUGACUUUUCAGGUCUUGUUGAACAUCCUGGUUAAAGGAAUCCACUGGAAGGUCACUUUUAGAUGCAGCCAGCUGUUAGAUAUUACUUUCUGGUGACCACAGACAAUACAAGAGUUGUGUUUCGUUGCUGGUUUUCUUCUACCAUGUUUUCAGCAGGUUUAUCAGAGAUCUGUAUUACAAGGCUAGCCAGACAACUGUUAUUUCACUGCUUGGACAAAGUAAAUUGCUCUAGGCUUUACUACACAGGCAGAAGAAACAUUCCUGUAUUACCUGUAUUACCAUAGGGAAGUCCCUAUGUGGCAAUGGCAUGAAGUAUAAUUAUUUCAGAAAGAAGUUGCUUUUAUUCAUAGUGUGACACACUCAAUAAUGUUACAUUGGUACAGCUAGGGCAGAAUAAUUAUUCUCUUACAGAUUCAAUUGCCAGAUUUUCCACCUAGACAAGUUUCUACUGUAUCUCCAGAAGCAGUGGAAGUCUACAAGGGGAAUUUGCAUAAAGACUUUUUCUGAACCCUCAAGCAGCUUGAUGAAGAGAUUGUGGGGUCACCCAUAUACAUACUGGCAUUCACCCUCUUUCUCUUAGGAACAUAGUAAUGGAAGCUCUUAGGAAUGACUACAACUCCAUUUCAUACAAACACAGUUUCCUUCAACAUCUACUUUUUACUAUAUGUGGUCAAGCAAGCUGAUGCAGAAGGAGGCAGAGAAGUCAAAGCUGUUUACAUACACACAACCCCUUUAAGGGAAUUAUUCUGGGUUUAUAUCACAACUAAUCACCAGCCCAUGCCCUUGAUUUGCCAAACUCCUCACUGCAGUACUGACAGUUUCAUAGUUGUGAACACCCCCAGACUGACAAUUCUAGGUACUAUGAAGGGUCAGCUCUGCAUCUUUCUUCUCCAGAUCAAUUUUCAGAGCAAAGAGCUAAUUCAGAUGGUUUGCCCGCUGAGGCCUUGGGGCUCUAUUUUCUGGGCUGUUUGGGGACCAUUUAUUUUUGUUUACUUGUCUGUUUUCAUUUGUUUUGUUAGGAUUUUACAUAGGGAACAAACUGCUGCUAUUUUUUAUUUCAGACCUUCACAUCUGCCUGACUGGAAAGCAUGGAAAUCAGCAACUGUUUUGACAAGAUCAAGGAGGAAACUGUUGUCCAUCAUCUAUGGACCACAUCAAAAUAACAACAGAUGAGAAGCACAGCAUUUGGGAGUUUUUCACUCCAAUACUUCCACUGUCUUCAUCUGACAUAAAAUGUCUCUACCCUGCAGUAUCAGUGACAUGAUAAAUUAUCUCCUUAUGAAAAAGGCAGAAAAACCAGAUGGGGAUCCAUUAACUUCUCUCUGUGGUGCUCAUUCUCUUUGCCUGAACAGAAAUAAGGCUCUCCCAACAUCCAGAAACAAACACACAAAGUUUCACAACUCAGUUGCCAAGCAACCUUCUAAAACUCCUUUAAAAGAAGAAAAAGGAAGAGCAAGAACAAGACCCUCACACUCCACUGUUGAUCACAGAGCAGUUGUUCACCUUCACCCAGUCAAGUACGAACAGUAAAGCUGCAUACUGAA
Parus major (Great Tit) is the source of this 2357-nucleotide long non-coding RNA. RefSeq lists it as uncharacterized. NCBI's taxonomy places the organism in Eukaryota, Metazoa, Chordata, Aves, Passeriformes, Paridae. The record is from RefSeq and is a predicted model, not a curated record. The transcript is spliced from 3 exons.